AAACCUAAGACAGGAAAUGUAGCCAAUAAAAGUCUUUGACAUUGUUUCCUGUGCCCUGCCCUCCACAGUGCUCAGGAAGCAGAGUCAGAGAAGAAUAAGGCCACUUUUUCCCCAAGGCGAGUAGAACGCAGCACUUCAGAGCUGAAGAAUGUCUCUUCCUUUGUUUCUGGCAAUGAGUUCAUCAUGAAUCGAGGGGUAUAAAAGAAAUUUUCCUGUACUUCUUUGGUAUUCUUCAAAUGUUGGAUAAAUAAUCAACCACCAGGUUCCAGAUGCCAUCAGGAUGCUGGCCAGGCUUCCCUGGACUGAAGACCCCACCAACGUGUCCUGGAGCUCCACUUCCCCAGA
Long non-coding RNA from Erinaceus europaeus (western European hedgehog), 345 nucleotides. RefSeq lists it as uncharacterized. Lineage: Eukaryota; Metazoa; Chordata; Mammalia; Eulipotyphla; Erinaceidae. The transcript is spliced from 3 exons. The record is from RefSeq and is a predicted model, not a curated record.